GGCGAGAACGGCCCUUAGUUUACAUUUUUUUCCUUUGUUCCCAGUGCUGAACGGGGAUUGCAAAUCCGUGUACACCGGUUCGAUUCCGGUACUCGCCUCCA
This 101-nucleotide transfer RNA is filed under the name Shimia thalassica. RNAcentral describes it as "tRNA-Ser". Lineage: Bacteria; Pseudomonadati; Pseudomonadota; Alphaproteobacteria; Rhodobacterales; Roseobacteraceae. The record is from RNAcentral.